This is a non-coding RNA of Chelonoidis abingdonii (Abingdon island giant tortoise), 547 nucleotides long. NCBI's taxonomy places the organism in Eukaryota, Metazoa, Chordata, Testudines, Testudinidae. The record is from the annotation of a RefSeq genome assembly.
UGUCAUCUAUGAGCUGCUGAGCACAUAUAAACAUUUCAUUUCCCACUGCUCACUUAUGAAUGAGUUUUUCCAACCAUGGUCAGGCAAGAUGAUCGCACGCACGCCCCUCUUCUGGCUGCUGGUUCUCUGGAUUCAAGACUCCUCCGGGCAAAUUGUGAUGACUCAGUCCCUGGAAUCUCUGGCAGUGCCAGUGAGAGGGAGAGUCUCUAUCAACUGCAAAGCCAGUACGAGCAUUAACACUUGCAUACACUGGUACCAACAGAAACCUGGACAAGCUCCCAAACUUCUUAUCUACCUCGCCACCAACCUCCAGUCGGGGGUCCCAGCCCGGUUCAACGGCAGCGGCUCUGGCACUGAUUUCACAUUCACCAUCAGCAGCGUAGAAGCUGAUGAUGCUGGAGAUUAUUACUGUCAGCAGUGUAGCAGCUACCCUCUCACAGUGAUACAGACCAGUACAAAAACCUCCCUGCUCUCUACCGUGUGCAAUGCAGUUACCAUUCAUUGCGGAUGUAACUGCAUUUCAAAUGUUCUGUCAAACGUGAAAUAA